RNAcentral lists this ribosomal RNA (472 nucleotides) under uncultured bacterium. RNAcentral describes it as "bacterial SSU rRNA". It matches the Rfam family "Bacterial small subunit ribosomal RNA", at positions 355 to 825 of the family's 1533-position model. The record is from RNAcentral.
UGGGGAAUCUUGGACAAUGGGCGCAAGCCUGAUCCAGCCAUACCGCGUGAGUGAAGAAGGCCUUCGGGUUGUAAAGCUCUUUCAGACGGAAAGAAACGGUUACGGCUAAUACCCGUGACUAAUGACGGUACCGUAAGAAGAAGCACCGGCUAACUACGUGCCAGCAGCCGCGGUAAUACGUAGGGUGCGAGCGUUAAUCGGAAUUACUGGGCGUAAAGCGUGCGCAGGCGGUUUGGUAAGACAGAUGUGAAAUCCCCGGGCUUAACCUGGGAACUGCAUUUGUGACUGCCAGACUAGAGUGUAGCAGAGGGGGGUAGAAUUCCACGUGUAGCAGUGAAAUGCGUAGAUAUGUGGAGGAAUACCGAUGGCGAAGGCAGCCCCCUGGGCUAACACUGACGCUCAUGCACGAAAGCGUGGGGAGCAAACAGGAUUAGAUACCCUCGUAGUCCCUGAGCGGGCUGGCAAGGCGCAU